CCAGCAGCCGCGGUAAUACGUAGGGUGCGAGCGUUGUCCGGAAUUACUGGGCGUAAAGAGCUCGUAGGUGGUUUGUUGCGUCGUCUGUGAAAUUCCGGGGCUUAACUUCGGGGUGGCAGGCGAUACGGGCAUAACUAGAGUGCUGUAGGGGAGACUGGAAUUCCUGGUGUAGCGGUGGAAUGCGCAGAUAUCAGGAGGAACACCGAUGGCGAAGGCAGGUCUCUGGGCAGUAACUGACGCUGAGGAGCGAAAGCAUGGGGAGCGAACAGGAUUAGAUACCCUGGUAGUCCAUGCUGUAAACGGUGGGCGUUAGGUGUGGGGACCGGUUUGGUUUCUGUGCCGUAGCUAACGCAUUAAGCGCCCCGCCUGGGGAGUACGGCCGCAAGGCUAAAACUCAAAGGAAUUGACGGGGGCCCGCACAAG
Molecule: ribosomal RNA, 423 nt
Filed under: uncultured bacterium
Lineage: Bacteria
Description: bacterial SSU rRNA
Rfam family: Bacterial small subunit ribosomal RNA
Source: RNAcentral